GCACAAGCGGUGGAGCAUGUGGUUUAAUUCGAUGCAACGCGAAGAACCUUACCUACUCUUGACAUCCAGAGAACUUAGCAGAGAUGGUUUGGUGCCUUCGGGAACUCUGAGACAGGUGCUGCAUGGCUGUCGUCAGCUCGUGUUGUGAAAUGUUGGGUUAAGUCCCGCAACGAGCGCAACCCUUAUCCUUUGUUGCCAGCGGUUAGGCCGGGAACUCAAAGGAGACUGCCAGUGAUAAACUGGAGGAAGGUGGGGAUGACGUCAAGUCAUCAUGGCCCUUACGAGUAGGGCUACACACGUGCUACAAUGGCGCAUACAAAGAGAAGCGACCUCGCGAGAGCAAGCGGACCUCAUAAAGUGCGUCGUAGUCCGGAUUGGAGUCUGCAACUCGACUCCAUGAAGUCGGAAUCGCUAGUAAUCGUAGAUCAGAAUGCUACGGUGAAUACGUUCCCGGGCCUUGUACACACCGCCCGUCACACCAUGGGAGUGGGUUGCAAAAGAAGUAGGUAGCUUAACCUUCGGGAGGGCGCUUACCACUUUGUGAUUCAUGACUGGGGUGAAGUCGUAACA
RNAcentral lists this ribosomal RNA (570 nucleotides) under Enterobacter sp. NB120. Its description in RNAcentral is "bacterial SSU rRNA". It matches the Rfam family "Bacterial small subunit ribosomal RNA", at positions 923 to 1493 of the family's 1533-position model. The record is from RNAcentral. Lineage: Bacteria; Pseudomonadati; Pseudomonadota; Gammaproteobacteria; Enterobacterales; Enterobacteriaceae.